AGAAGGAUUGAGAAAAGCACACGGAGUAUCUUAGUUGGUGAAAAGUAUUUCUACUGGCGGUCUUCUAACCACCUAGAGGCUUAUGUGCCUAAACGAAUCUACACGCCGUAUCUUUCCUCCUUUAGUUAUAACUCACUCUACCCACCUCUGUCUGAAAGAAAAGGAAAUGAUCUGUUCUCCCAGUGAUGAGGCAAUAAGGCAAGUAAACGUGUAGGAUAUGAGGAGGCAGAAGUGUGUAAGCCAAUCCCAGAGAUUGAUUAGAGGAAGAAUGACUCUUUGAGAGAGAAUUUAGAAGUAAGCGGGGUUGAAAAUACCUCUCU
This 320-nucleotide ribosomal RNA is filed under the name Saemundssonia meridiana. RNAcentral describes it as "partial 12S ribosomal RNA". Lineage: Eukaryota; Metazoa; Arthropoda; Insecta; Psocodea; Philopteridae. The record is from RNAcentral.